RNAcentral lists this ribosomal RNA (393 nucleotides) under uncultured bacterium. RNAcentral's name for it is "bacterial SSU rRNA". It matches the Rfam family "Bacterial small subunit ribosomal RNA", at positions 30 to 425 of the family's 1533-position model. The record is from RNAcentral.
AUUGAACGCUGGCGGCAUGCCUUACACAUGCAAGUCGAACGGUAACGGGCCUUCGGGUGCCGACGAGUGGCGAACGGGUGAGUAAUGCAUCGGAACGUACCUUUCAGUGGGGGAUAACGUAGCGAAAGUUACGCUAAUACCGCAUAUUCUGUGAGCAGGAAAGCAGGGGAUCGCAAGACCUUGUGCUGAUUGAGCGGCCGAUGUCAGAUUAGCUAGUUGGUGAGGUAAAGGCUCACCAAGGCGACGAUCUGUAGCGGGUCUGAGAGGAUGAUCCGCCACACUGGAACUGAGACACGGUCCAGACUCCUACGGGAGGCAGCAGUGGGGAAUUUUGGACAAUGGGGGCAACCCUGAUCCAGCCAUGCCGCGUGAGUGAAGAAGGCCUUCGGGUUG